GACGUAGGGCGCGAGCGUUGUCCGGAUUUAUUGGGCGUAAAGAGCUCGUAGGCGGCUUGUCGCGUCGACUGUGAAAACCCGUGGCUCAACUGCGGGCCUGCAGUCGAUACGGGCAGGCUAGAGUUCGGUAGGGGAGACUGGAAUUCCUGGUGUAGCGGUGAAAUGCGCAGAUAUCAGGAGGAACACCGGUGGCGAAGGCGGGUCUCUGGGGCCACUACUGACGCUGAGAAGCGAAAGCAUGGGGAGCGAACAGG
Molecule: ribosomal RNA, 254 nt
Filed under: uncultured bacterium
Lineage: Bacteria
Description: partial 16S ribosomal RNA
Rfam family: Bacterial small subunit ribosomal RNA
Source: RNAcentral